CCUAAACACUGAAUGGCGACCGAUAGCGCAUAGUACCGUGAGGGAAAGGUGAAAAGAACCCCGGGAGGGGAGUGAAAUAGAACCUGAAACCCUGCACUUACAAGCUGUGGGAGCACAUUACUUGUGUGACCGCGUACUUUUUGUAGAACGGGCCAACGAGUUACGUUAAGUAGCAAGGUUAAGCACUUAAGGUGUGGAGCCGUAGCGAAAGCGAGUCUUAAAUGGGCGAUUAAGUUACUUGGCGUAGACCCGAAACCGGGCGACCUAUCCAUGAGCAGGUUGAAGCGAAAGUAAAAUUUCGUGGAGGACCGAACCCACGAGCGUUGAAAAGCUCGGGGAUGACUUGUGGAUAGCGGUGAAAUUCCAAUCGAGCCCGGAGAUAGCUGGUUCUCCCCGAAAUAGCUUUAGGGCUAGCCUCAAGCGUAGAGAAACGGAGGUAGAGCACUGAAUGUCCUAGGGGGUAUUGCACUUACCGAAGACUAUCAAACUCCGAAUGCCGUUUUCUUUUACUUGGGAGUCAGACUGUGGGUGAUAAGAUUCAUAGUCAAAAGGGCAACAGCCCAGAUCGUCAGCUAAGGUCCCUAAAUGUACGUUAAGUGGUAAAGGAUGUGGGAUUGCACAGACAACCAGGAUGUUGGCUUAGAAGCAGCCACUCAUUUAAAGAGUGCGUAAUAGCUCACUGGUCGAGUGAUCCUGCGCCGAAAAUUUCCGGGGCUAAAACGUACUACCGAAGCUACGGCAUCAUUUAUGAUGGGUAGGGGAGCUUCGUAUGCAGGCUGAAGCAUGACCGUAAGGACAUGUGGACAGUAUACGAGUGAGAAUGUUGGCAUGAGUAGCGAGACGUGGGUGAGAAUCCCACGGGCCGUAAACCCAAGGUUUCCAGGGGAAGGUUCGUCCGCCCUGGGUUAGUCGGGACCUAAGCCGAGGCCGAAAGGCGUAGGUGAUGGACAACAGGUUGAUAUUCCUGUACCGCCAAUAAGCGUUUGAGAGAUGGAGUGACACAGUAGGAUAAGCUAACCGUACUGUUGGUUAUGUACGGCUAAGCAUUGAGGCAGUCUAAAUAGGCAAAUCCGUUUAGACAAUGCUAGGAUGUGAUGGGGAAGCCCUUCGGGGCGAAGUAGCUGAUUUCACACUGUCAAGAAAAGCUUCUAUCGAGUUUAAAGGCGCCCGUACCGUAAACCGACACAGGUGGGUGAGGAGAGUAUCCUAAGGCCAGCGAGAGAACUAUUGUUAAGGAACUCGGCAAAAUGACCCCGUAACUUAGGGAGAAGGGGUGCCUGUCUAUGACAGGCCGCAGAGAAUAGGCCCAAGCGACUGUUUACCAAAAACACAGGUUUCUGCUAAGUCGCAAGACGAUGUAUAGGAGCUGACGCCUGCCCGGUGCUGGAAGGUUAAGGGGAUCUGUUAGAGCAAUCGAAGCAGUGAACUUAAGCCCCAGUAAACGGCGGCCGUAACUAUAACGGUCCUAAGGUAGCGAAAUUCCUUGUCGGGUAAGUUCCGACCC
RNAcentral lists this ribosomal RNA (1504 nucleotides) under human gut metagenome. Its description in RNAcentral is "bacterial LSU rRNA". It matches the Rfam family "Bacterial large subunit ribosomal RNA", at positions 465 to 1989 of the family's 2925-position model. The record is from RNAcentral.